UACAGAGGGUGCAAGCGUUAAUCGGAAUUACUGGGCGUAAAGCGCACGUAGGCGGUUUUUUAAGUCAGAUGUGAAAGCCCCGGGCUCAACCUGGGAAUUGCAUUUGAAACUGGGAAACUAGAGUGUGUGAGAGGGGGGUAGAAUUCCAAGUGUAGCGGUGAAAUGCGUAGAGAUUUGGAGGAAUACCAGUGGCGAAGGCGG
This 201-nucleotide ribosomal RNA is filed under the name uncultured bacterium. RNAcentral describes it as "partial 16S ribosomal RNA". It matches the Rfam family "Bacterial small subunit ribosomal RNA", at positions 524 to 724 of the family's 1533-position model. The record is from RNAcentral.